UACGUAGGGCGCAAGCGUUGUCCGGAAUUAUUGGGCGUAAAGAGCUCGUAGGCGGCUUGUUGCGUCGGUUGUGAAAGCCCGGGGCUUAACCCCGGGUCUGCAGUCGAUACGGGCAGGCUAGAGUGUGGUAGGGGAGAUCGGAAUUCCUGGUGUAGCUGUGAAAUGCGCAGAUAUCAGGAGGAACACCGGUGGCGAAGGCGGGUCUCUGGGCCGAUACUGACGCUGAGGAGCGAAAGCGUGGGGAGCGAACAGG
Molecule: ribosomal RNA, 253 nt
Filed under: uncultured bacterium
Lineage: Bacteria
Description: partial 16S ribosomal RNA
Rfam family: Bacterial small subunit ribosomal RNA
Source: RNAcentral